This 486-nucleotide ribosomal RNA is filed under the name uncultured bacterium. RNAcentral's name for it is "bacterial SSU rRNA". It matches the Rfam family "Bacterial small subunit ribosomal RNA", at positions 29 to 488 of the family's 1533-position model. The record is from RNAcentral.
AACUAACGCUGGCGGCGUGCCUAACACAUGCAAGUCGUACGAGAAAGUUGGCUUCGGCCGAUGAGUAAAGUGGCGCACGGGUGAGUAAUGCGUGGAUAAUCUGCCCUUUAGUUGGGAAUAACGUACCGAAAGGUGCGCUAAUACCUGAUAAUACUGCAUAACUACUGUUGUGUAGUCAAAGAAGGCCUCUGUUUACAAGCUUUUGCUGAAGGAUGAGUCCGCGUACCAUUAGCUGGUUGGUGGGGUAAUGGCCUACCAAGGCUACGAUGGUUAGCUGGUCUGAGAGGAUGAUCAGCCACACUGGAACUGAGACACGGUCCAGACUCCUACGGGAGGCAGCAGUGAGGAAUAUUGCGCAAUGGGGGCAACCCUGACGCAGCAACGCCGCGUGAGUGAGGAAGGUUUUCGGACCGUAAAGCUCUGUCGAGCGGGAAGAAAGUGUAUCAUGGCUAAUAUCCAUGAUACUUGUACGGUACCGACUAAAGG